RNAcentral lists this ribosomal RNA (429 nucleotides) under Actinomycetes bacterium. RNAcentral's name for it is "Actinobacteria bacterium partial 16S ribosomal RNA". It matches the Rfam family "Bacterial small subunit ribosomal RNA", at positions 355 to 776 of the family's 1533-position model. The record is from RNAcentral. Lineage: Bacteria; Bacillati; Actinomycetota; Actinomycetes.
UAGGGAAUCUUCCGCAAUGGGCGAAAGCCUGACGGAGCAACGCCGCGUGAGUGAUGAAGGUCUUCGGAUCGUAAAACUCUGUUAUUAGGGAAGAACAAAUGUGUAAGUAACUAUGCACGUCUUGACGGUACCUAAUCAGAAAGCCACGGCUAACUACGUGCCAGCAGCCGCGGUAAUACGUAGGUGGCAAGCGUUAUCCGGAAUUAUUGGGCGUAAAGCGCGCGUAGGCGGUUUUUUAAGUCUGAUGUGAAAGCCCACGGCUCAAACGUGGAGGGGCAUUGGAAACUGGAAAACUAGAGUGCAGAAGAGGAAAGUGGAAUUCCAUGUGUAGCGGUGAAAUGCGCAGAGAUAUGGAGGAACACCAGUGGCGAAGGCGACUUUCUGGUCUGUAACUGACGCUGAUGGGCGAAAGCGUGGGGAUCAAACAGG